Molecule: transfer RNA, 74 nt
Filed under: Candidatus Jorgensenbacteria bacterium RIFCSPLOWO2_01_FULL_45_25b
Lineage: Bacteria; Candidatus Joergenseniibacteriota
Description: tRNA-Asp
Rfam family: tRNA
About the family: Transfer RNA (tRNA) molecules are approximately 80 nucleotides in length. Their secondary structure includes four short double-helical elements and three loops (D, anti-codon, and T loops).
Source: RNAcentral
GCGGGCGUAGUUCAGUUGGUUAGAGCGAUUCCCUGUCACGGCAGAGGUCGCCGGUUCGAGUCCGGUCGCCCGCG